RNAcentral lists this ribosomal RNA (545 nucleotides) under uncultured bacterium. Its description in RNAcentral is "partial 16S ribosomal RNA". It matches the Rfam family "Bacterial small subunit ribosomal RNA", at positions 355 to 895 of the family's 1533-position model. The record is from RNAcentral.
UGGGGAAUUUUGGACAAUGGGCGAAAGCCUGAUCCAGCAAUGCCGCGUGUGUGAAGAAGGCCUUCGGGUUGUAAAGCACUUUUGUCCGGAAAGAAAUCCUUGGCUCUAAUACAGUCGGGGGAUGACGGUACCGGAAGAAUAAGCACCGGCUAACUACGUGCCAGCAGCCGCGGUAAUACGUAGGGUGCAAGCGUUAAUCGGAAUUACUGGGCGUAAAGCGUGCGCAGGCGGUUUGCUAAGACCGAUGUGAAAUCCCCGGGCUCAACCUGGGAACUGCAUUGGUGACUGGCAGGCUAGAGUAUGGCAGAGGGGGGUAGAAUUCCACGUGUAGCAGUGAAAUGCGUAGAGAUGUGGAGGAAUACCGAUGGCGAAGGCAGCCCCCUGGGCCAAUACUGACGCUCAUGCACGAAAGCGUGGGGAGCAAACAGGAUUAGAUACCCUGGUAGUCCACGCCCUAAACGAUGUCAACUAGUUGUGGGGAUUCAUUUCCUAGUAACGUAGCUAACGCGUGAAGUUGACCGCCUGGGGAGUACGGUCGCAAGAUU